UAUCUAUUCCAUAUUCUAUCACAAUAUCAUGGUAACAUUACUGAAUUGUAAUGAACCUGAAUUUAAACAGCCAUGAGAGAUUAACGCCAGCGUACUGGCUGGCACCAAUCUGGACAGAUGCUAAUAUUAGGCACACCAGCACUGCUCACCAGAGGCUGAUCAGAAGGGAGCUUACAGUUUAUCUGAUGGGAUUCUCUCAUUUCUCAAAUAAGAAAAUUCAGGCCCAAGUAAAAGUGACUUGCAACAAAAAUCACUGCAGCGAAGGGAUGUCAGGCAGCCCCGAGCCCAAGGCUUCCGUGCCUAGCCUCAUGCCCUUUCCAUCUCACAGGAAGUUUCUUGUGCUGAUGCAAAAAAUAGCUGCAAUUUGGUUUAAUUCUGGCGUGUGGAAUCGAUGCAGCUGACGGGCAAAGCCUGCCGAAGAUCACGUGCUCCCCCUGCUGAGCACACCAUCUCCCCUGCCCAUCAGGUUCCUCAGGAGGUGCCCCAUCGUCCUGGCAUUUCCAACACCUUGGCGUCUUCAUGGCAACUUCCCCUUCACAGCUUCUCAUGAUGGCCUCUCAGGAACACCACACAGGGACUGUAACCCUGCUGGAUACUGCCUGGCUUCAGCACGUUUUAGACCCUUGGUAGAAAGCCACUGUGCCCUGUCAGUCUUGAAUUUUGCAAAUGUCUUCAAAGUCAGUUCCACAUGGACAGCAGCCGAGUUCUGCUGCCAGGCUGAAGGGCAGUCUGGCACUUCCUACCACAGCUGCUUAGCCUUUGUGGACCUUGGUGGCUGAACCUGGGAAAACACUUUCUAAGGAGGCUGAUGCCCACAGGGAUUCCCUGUCAGAGAAACUCUCAAUUCAAGCUUUCUUCAGUUUUUUGUUUCUUUUUCCUGUUUCUGUGAUUAAAAUACUCUAAAAAAGAAACUGUAAUGGAGAAAGGAUUUAUUUGGGCUCAGAGUUCUAGAGCGACACAGUCCAUCAUGUGAAGGAAGGCAUGGCAGCAGGCAGGUAGCACCGUGGCAGGAUUGGGAAGCUCUCUGGUCACACUGUAUCCACAUUCAGAAGUGAGACCGGGCAAUAGUCUCAAGGCCCUAGUGAUCUACUUCACCUCCUAAAGGUUGCCUAGUCUUCCUAAACAGCUCCACCAAUGGGGACCGAGUGUUCAAUCACAGGGGCCUGUAGAGGACACUUGACAUUCAAACUACAACAUAGGAUCUUGCGUCUCACAGUUUUACAAACCAGACAUCAGGCAGGAUCUUGCCUUUAAGACACAUUUCCUAUGGUCUCAAUUGCAUUGAUGGCUCACUGUGUCUGCAGCUCCCUAGCCAGCAACUUGAAAUCCACUCACACUCCCUCCCUCACCUCUGCACAUUUUUCAAGUCUUUCUGCUUUGAAUUGUCAUAUCGACUUCAAUAAAUUCAUUGAGCAAAAACAAUUCCACUGCCUGAAUGUUAUAUCUUGAGAUUUCCUACACUAAACAAUUUAGUUUAUUACUUUUGAAUUCAAACUCACUCAAUUUCUCAAGAUGUAGGCAGAAUUCAGCCAGACUUUGUCGGAAUAGAACUUUUAUCGCCUCUGACCUAGUCCCCAACAGUCUCUGUUCCCCUGUGACCCCUCAUGAUCAGAUCAGUCUUUGCUGCCUGCGUUUCUCUUGGUAUUCUGGGGGGCUCCACUCCAUUGUGGGGGCCUACAGAGACCCCAGCUUGUGGUUUGUUUUCAUCUUGACUCAAGGUCAGAGCGUCCGAGCCUGUAUUCCCUGCUACACACAAGCCUGCACAAUACGGUGGUUUGGCUCAAGGUGUGGUUACAGGUGUCUUACACUUCAAGGCCUCAUUACAGGAUGCUUUGCCUAAUGGUUACCAGAUGUUUUGUACCUUGAACUGUGAUGACCUUGAAAGGGGGGGUCUUUUGCCCCCUUUAUUUUGGGUAUAUAAAGGCUGUGAAUAAUAAACUCAGGUGUCUGUGGUAUUGACCCAGAGCCCUCCCAAA
Long non-coding RNA from Peromyscus californicus insignis, 1976 nucleotides. RefSeq lists it as uncharacterized. The record is from RefSeq and is a predicted model, not a curated record. Lineage: Eukaryota; Metazoa; Chordata; Mammalia; Rodentia; Cricetidae. The transcript is spliced from 2 exons.